GCCUAGUUUGGUAGCACAUAUACUAAAACUGGAACAAUACUGAGAAGAUUAGCAUGGCCCCUGUGCAAGGAUGACAUGCAAAUUUGUAAAAUGUUCCAUAUUAAA
Molecule: small nuclear RNA, 105 nt
Organism: Nycticebus coucang (slow loris)
Lineage: Eukaryota; Metazoa; Chordata; Mammalia; Primates; Lorisidae
Source: RefSeq, a predicted model, not a curated record